GAGCUCUAUUAUAGUAUAGAGCAUGUUCUCUGGAGCUUGGUUGCCUGAGUUCAAAUCCUGGCUCUACCACUUAUGUGAUCUGGGGCCAGUUACACAGAUUUUCUGCAUCUUGGUUUCCGCCUAUGUAGAAUGGUGUUAAUCAAGUACAUACUUCAUAGAGCUGUUAUGAGGGUUAAAUGGCUGAAUAUGUGUUACAACAAUGCUGUGAGGUGGAGAUUAUUACGCUUGUUUAAAAAAACUGGCUAAGACAAUUUAAGAGGGUUGACUAAAGUUUGCAUUGCUAUGUGUGGCAGAGCUAUUGUUUGAACUCAGAGUCAGCGCUUCUUCAAUGUCUCCUCAAGGUCAUUAAAAAAAAAACCAAGUAGAUGGGGGAGGACCUGGUGUGUGCUCUCUCCUCAGCAUGGUCUUCUACAAGUCUUUGUCCUCCUGGAGAGGAGUAAGAGAUACUGCCCAGAUUCCCUCUCUUCACUGGCAUUCAGCCAACCCUCUAUUGACCCAACAAACACCUUGAGUGCUUAAAUAUGUACACCUAGUGAUGUCUUUUGCUAUCCUAUUUGUGACUACCUCAAAUGCCAGGUUUCUACAAAGUUAUAAAUUCCCUGAGAGCAUCCUAUGUGUCUUUGUUACUACUAACAGUGUUUUACACAAUGCCAGGCACACGGUAGAUUCUCAAAAAACUAUACAGCUGUUUCACAUAUUUUUUAAAUACUUUCUUCUUUGUGCUUUUAUAUGUUGUCUAAAUUUUGUAUAAUAAGCAUGUGGUGAUUUUUAUUUAUUUAUUUUUGAGAGAGAGAGACAGAGUGCGAGCAGAGGAGGGGCAGAGAGGGAAACACAGAAUCUGAAACAGACUCCAGGCUCUGAGCUGUCAGCACAAAAUCUGAUGCACGGCUCGAACUCAUGAAUCGAGAGAUCAUGACCUGAGCCUAAGUCAGACACUUAACUGAGUGAGCCACUCAGAUACCCCAGCAUAUGGUAAGUUUUUAAUUUAAAAAAUAAUUAAGCUUUUUUUACCCUAUAAAAAACAUGUAGAUUUGUUGGUGACUUGCCAUAUCUGUCACUUUGAAAUCCAUCCUUUGUCUUUCGAGAGCUGGGGUAUGUGGCUGUCCUUGCCCAAGGGAUCCUGAUUGAUCUUCUCUGGUGGCAACAGGGCUCAGCCCCCUCCUUCCUGCAGGAUAAAGGAAACCUUGGAAGAGAGACGUAGAACUUUCUAGAAGGUCUGAAUGAAUACACCCUCCCCUACUUGAAACUUCAGGACAGCUGGCAGCUUAGGCCUUUUGUCCUCCAUCUGUGUCCAGCUAUUAGAGUUGUGCUGUGAUGUUAUUGAAUUGAAUCAAGAACCCAGGUGUGCUACCUCUUGCAGGCCCAUGUCAUCUUAAAGGUCCAAGAUCUACAGGCUAGUUGGAACAGAUGAGUAGAGGAAGAAGGAAAGAAUAUUUAUUGUUUUGACUCCAAAAUAUGGUGGCAAAACUUUGCAAAAUACAGAAGGUUAAAAGAUUGCCACAACAUCUUGACAGUUUCGUUGUGGUUUGUUUUACAUACCACUGCAUGUUAUAUGUAGACAGAUUCAUAUUUAUGAGAAGCAGAGAAUGGCCCACCCUGACUCCUCACCUUGAUCUUAUCAGACAGCAUCUGACAAAUGAAACAACAGGAAGUUUUGCUGGAAGCUGUUGCUGGCUGGGGUUAAACGCAAGCAGUAAGUGGUCUAGAAAUGUUAUAAUACUUGGCAUUGACCAAUAUUGCCACCACAGUGUGGUAAAUUCCAGAAUAAAAUUAGGACACAUAUAUAUCAAAAGUAAACCUCUGGGUUUGGGUUUUUCUCUUACUCUAUUCCUGGGAAAGUGUCCCUGGUCUGACAUGGUACAUUGUAUUCCAGCUUAUAAUAUUCAGGUGUACAACCAA
This is a long non-coding RNA of Panthera uncia (snow leopard), 1899 nucleotides long. RefSeq lists it as uncharacterized. The record is from RefSeq and is a predicted model, not a curated record. The transcript is spliced from 3 exons. NCBI's taxonomy places the organism in Eukaryota, Metazoa, Chordata, Mammalia, Carnivora, Felidae.